Molecule: long non-coding RNA, 702 nt
Organism: Setaria italica (foxtail millet)
Lineage: Eukaryota; Viridiplantae; Streptophyta; Magnoliopsida; Poales; Poaceae
Exons: 2
Source: RefSeq, a predicted model, not a curated record
GCUAGCCUGAUCUGGUCUGGUCUCUGGUGUAUUUGGACUCCAGCUCCAACUCCGGGACCUCGACCUCGGCCGUCCAGCCAGACUCCAGAGCGGAUCAAACGCUCCCUGCAUCAGUGGGCCCAAUGGUGUGGAUCUGGAGCGUUGGAUCGCAUAUUAACGGUUAGAUUAGCCUUGACCCUCAUCAAAGAGAGCAAAGUCUCCCCGUCCUCUCGAGCAUCUCUGACAGGCCGCCGCUCCUUCCGGAUCUGGGCGAGGCGAGCUGCGGCGCCGGGGCGUCGCGGGGAGGGGGAAGGGAGGAUGAGCUGGAUCGGGCGCAAGAUCCACCUCUACAAUGUCACCAUCGGCCUCUACAUGCUCGAUUGUAAUCUGAAGACACUUUUCCAAGAUGGAAACUAUCUUGUGGGAGGCAGUACAUAGCCAUGAUUGGACGAAAUCUGCUUAUGAUCAUUUGCCUGUGUAAUUUCAUCGGUUUAAUUAGUUGUUAACUGCGUAACAGAGAAGGAAUUAGACAAUUAUCACCGUGUAGCCAUUUCUGUAUCUCCCCGGAAGCUAAAAGUCUUCUGGUAUUUCUGUCUAGUGGAGGACAGUACAAAUCGAUUGUUGUGCAAGAUUGACAUUUCUGUGUUGUACAUGAUUGUCAUCCCGCUGUGCUUCGUGGACACACCACGACUCCUCUGUGAGAUUCAUUCCUGAUUUCAUGUA